Molecule: long non-coding RNA, 607 nt
Filed under: Androctonus crassicauda
Lineage: Eukaryota; Metazoa; Arthropoda; Arachnida; Scorpiones; Buthidae
Source: RNAcentral
GAACAAUUUUUGAAAAUGCUGUUAUCAUAUAGUAUUUACAAUAAUUUCAAUCAUGAACAAUAUGAUACAAGUCUAAGUAGGAAUUCCACCUAUUUUUAUAUACAAUUUUAGAAUCAUAAAUGUGGGUCCCUAGUUGCCCCAUAGGCUGGAGAUGAUAUUGACAGGCAUUGGCCUAAGUGCGGUGAGGGAUCCGUGUAAGGAUGGGUAGUGAGAGUGGCUGCAAGAUAUCUGAAACCAGUUAUCUUGCAGCCAAGGAAGAGUAAAAGCUCGGUGUCCAAGAUUGAAGUAGAAGAAAUCGUUUAAGCACUAAUUAUCUAUUAGGCCGGAUGGAUGACAGAAAGGAGUUGCAGUUGCAGUCAGGAAACGGACGAAAUGAUGGCUGUGACUGGAUGGAACUCUGACCUUGGGGAUAAGCAUUGGAAAACAAGCAAGCAAGCAAGCUCCCGGACGACAGCAUCACAGCUCUUAAAUAUCUGUGCUCUAUCUGACCCCUAUUUCCAGGCUAAAACAAAGAUCUUAUUUCUUAUAUUGGCUAUCCUUGUGUUUUUCCAAUUAUCUGCGCUGUUUUCUUGCGGCUGUCCAUGACUGAUUCACUUCGUAAUCCAAC